UGCCAGACUCCUACGGGAGGCAGCAGUGGGGAAUAUUGGACAAUGGGGGGAACCCUGAUCCAGCGACGCCGCGUGAGUGAAGAAGUAUUUCGGUAUGUAAAGCUCUAUCAGCAGGGAAGAAAAUGACGGUACCUGACUAAGAAGCCCCGGCUAACUACGUGCCAGCAGCCGCGGUAAUACGUAGGGGGCAAGCGUUAUCCGGAUUUACUGGGUGUAAAGGGAGCGUAGACGGUGCAGCAAGUCUGAUGUGAAAGGUCGGGGCCCAACCCCGGGACUGCAUUGGAAACUGUGUAACUUGAGUGCAGGAGAGGUAAGCGGAAUUCCUAGUGUAGCGGUGAAAUGCGUAGAUAUUAGGAGGAACACCAGUGGCGAAGGCGGCUUGCUGGACUGUAACUGACGUUGAGGCUCGAAAGCGUGGGGAGCAAACAGGAUUAGAUACCCGUGUAAA
RNAcentral lists this ribosomal RNA (448 nucleotides) under uncultured bacterium. RNAcentral's name for it is "bacterial SSU rRNA". It matches the Rfam family "Bacterial small subunit ribosomal RNA", at positions 329 to 793 of the family's 1533-position model. The record is from RNAcentral.